RNAcentral lists this small RNA (93 nucleotides) under Firmicutes bacterium CAG:240. Its description in RNAcentral is "Guanidine-I riboswitch aptamer". It matches the Rfam family "Guanidine-I riboswitch aptamer". From Rfam's summary of the family: This family represents a conserved RNA structure found upstream of the ykkC and yxkD genes in Bacillus subtilis and related genes in other bacteria. The record is from Rfam by way of RNAcentral. Lineage: Bacteria; Bacillati; Bacillota. RNAcentral also lists the same sequence under 1 other name.
UAUAAUGUUUUAUAGGGUUCCGGCAUUUAUGCGACUGGACCGAGAUAAAACGGCGCAUAAAGCGCUGCACGGAGGGAUAAAAGCCCGGGAGAA